Unclassified non-coding RNA from Nomascus leucogenys (northern white-cheeked gibbon), 331 nucleotides. Its record names the gene 7SK. It matches the Rfam family "7SK RNA". Rfam says of the family: 7SK was discovered as an abundant small nuclear RNA in the mid-70s but a possible function has only recently been suggested. Two independent studies have found that 7SK RNA binds the CDK9/cyclin T complex (known as elongation factor P-TEFb). P-TEFb activates transcription by phosphorylating the C-terminal domain of RNA polymerase II. The record is from Ensembl. Lineage: Eukaryota; Metazoa; Chordata; Mammalia; Primates; Hylobatidae.
GGCUGUGAGGGUGAUCUGGUUGCAACAUCUGUCACCCCAUUGAUCACCAGGGUUGAUCUGGCUGAUCAGGCUGGCCAGGCUGGCUAGGAGGGUGUCUCCUUCUUCCCUCUCUGAUCCAUGUGCAUCCCUCCUGAAGCUGUACAUGUAGAUGAAGAAGAUUACCUUUCUUGAGAGUAGAGGACCAUUAUUUGAUCAAGGGAAUAUGAGUAGCUGCACUCCCCUGCUAGACUCUCUAACCAAGCUCUCAAAUACUAACCGCUACGUAAUUUUUUUUUUCCUGCAGUGAGAAAGCAAUUCAAACCUAGUGCUAAAAUCAUCUUAUUGUCCAGAU